GGAUCAAGCCUGGACCUGAGAAAUUGAUUCCUCAGAGCUGUAAGACUUGUGACCAUGUUAAGGACUCCACACACUGGCUUCAGAUUGAACCCUUGACUUCCACUGUCCAGGGAGUGACAAUGUUCAGCCACAGGACACCCAAAGGGAGUUAUGAGUGCACAGUGUCUGGGCUCCGCUGGCUGUGUGAGAGAGAUGUAAUUCUGAAGUAUCACUUCAGGAACUGGGAACCCUACAGUCAACUUCUGAAGACAUGCAGUACACACAAGGUGGUCCAUUGCUGGACAUCACUAUGGAGUUAGGUGAACUGGAGGAAGUUCAUCUGCCACACUUUGUCUGUUUAGGUAA
Oncorhynchus kisutch (coho salmon) is the source of this 345-nucleotide long non-coding RNA. RefSeq lists it as uncharacterized. The transcript has 4 exons. NCBI's taxonomy places the organism in Eukaryota, Metazoa, Chordata, Actinopteri, Salmoniformes, Salmonidae. The record is from RefSeq and is a predicted model, not a curated record.